Molecule: transfer RNA, 71 nt
Filed under: Myiagra hebetior
Lineage: Eukaryota; Metazoa; Chordata; Aves; Passeriformes; Monarchidae
Description: tRNA-Glu
Rfam family: tRNA
About the family: Transfer RNA (tRNA) molecules are approximately 80 nucleotides in length. Their secondary structure includes four short double-helical elements and three loops (D, anti-codon, and T loops). Further hydrogen bonds mediate the characteristic L-shaped molecular structure. tRNAs have two regions of fundamental functional importance: the anti-codon, which is responsible for specific mRNA codon recognition, and the 3' end, to which the tRNAs corresponding amino acid is attached (by aminoacyl-tRNA synthetases). tRNAs cope with the degeneracy of the genetic code in two manners: having more than one tRNA (with a specific anti-codon) for a particular amino acid; and 'wobble' base-pairing, i.e. permitting non-standard base-pairing at the 3rd anti-codon position.
Source: RNAcentral
GUUCCUAUAGUUAAAUUUGAUAACGGUGGUUUUUCAGGCCAUAGAUCUUGGAGAAAGUCCAAGUAGGAAUU